UACGAACGCUGGCGGCAUGCCUAACACAUGCAAGUCGAACGAGACCUUCGGGUCUAGUGGCGCACGGGUGCGUAACGCGUGGGAAUCUGCCCUUCGGUUCGGAAUAACUCAGGGAAACUUGAGCUAAUACCGGAUAAUGACGUAAGUCCAAAGAUUUAUCGCCGAAGGAUGAGCCCGCGUAGGAUUAGCUUGUUGGUGGGGUAAUGGCCCACCAAGGCGACGAUCCUUAGCUGGUCUGAGAGGAUGAUCAGCCACACUGGGACUGAGACACGGCCCAGACUCCUACGGGAGGCAGCAGUGGGGAAUAUUGGACAAUGGGCGAAAGCCUGAUCCAGCAAUGCCGCGUGAGUGAUGAAGGCCUUAGGGUUGUAAAGCUCUUUUACCCGGGUAUGAUAAUGACAGUACCGGGAGAAUAAGCUCCGGCUAACUCCGUGCCAGCAGCCGCGGUAAAGUACAGUGU
Molecule: ribosomal RNA, 460 nt
Filed under: uncultured bacterium
Lineage: Bacteria
Description: bacterial SSU rRNA
Rfam family: Bacterial small subunit ribosomal RNA
Source: RNAcentral